GAUUUAUUGUUUAAGUUUCAUGUUUAAUUAUUAUUUUUGCAUUAUUGCAUCAUUAUCAUUGUAUUCAUCAUUAUUUUAAAGAAAAUUUAACAUUCUGUUAUAGUAUGAAUAGCAAAGAAAUAUUUUAUUAUAGAUUUCUUUAAGAUUUUAUUUAUGACAAUUAUAUAAUUAUCAAGAAAAAUGGAAAACAAUUGAGAAAAAUGAAGAAAGAUGUACUGAUUCUUUUUAAAGCCUUCUUUCUUCCUUUCUUUUCUAUUAGGAGUUUUCCUUGCUGGGUGAUAGCUUCUUGAAUGAUCGUAACUGUGGAACUCUGCUGCAUAAUUAUUCUGUGUCAUGGUAGCCUUCUUUCUUGUGAGUUGAUAUUUUGCAGCAAUUAUUUGCAAUACAAAAACUGGUCUAUAUGUGUUCUUCUAUUCCUGAAGCUCACUCUCAUUAGCCUCCUAUUUUGUUCUCUCAAUUAUAUUCUUACCAGAUAGUUUCAUUGUCACACUCACUAAUCAUAUUCUUAUAAUACUUGCACUCACUCUUCACUUUGUAAGUGGAGACAAUCUUAGACUUAUUUCAAUAACUUGAAAUCAUAUCAUUCAUUAAACUUGUCUUAUAUGUCAUGUUCUUACCAGGUAUCUUGCAUUUCAGUGUAUAAUUAUACCCACAAACUUUUCUUCAUUGAUUUAUUUUCCUUCAUGAAUACAUUAAUCAAUUAUAUUCAUCUUGUUUUCCUCUUUCACUGUCAUGAUCCAAGUAAGUUUAAAAAGCUCAUGGAAAUACUCUCUCCACAAGCUAAACUCUCCAUGGAGUAAACUAGUACUCUUAUCCAUUCUAGAUUUAUCUUACAUCGUUUUGCCGUUUUUAUCUUUAACACCACAUGUAUUCCUACCUUGUUCUCUUCAAAAUCAUUUUGCAAGUUCUCACUUACUACAAUCCUCUUCUUACUCUUUCAACACCUUUUCCACACAUUUUUUGCACCUCUUAAGGUGAGUUAACAAUAGAUGAACACAAGUAAAUAUGCAUGAGCAAACAAGCAGAUUCAUAUAUAAACAAUGAUAAAAUGUAAAUGAAAGCAUUUGUUUGCAUUCAGUUGUAUACUGAGUUGAGAUAGUAAACACAUGAACCAUCAAAGGAAAUUUAUGCUCUGGGUUAAACAAUCAUUUGAAGAAAUGUUUUGGAACAAAUGAAGGAACUAUUAUUUGUCCUUCUUUCCAGCAAGCAGAUAAAUGUUGCAGCUAUUUUUAUUAGUAUUGAUGUUAAUUUAUUAUGAUGAUGC
Molecule: long non-coding RNA, 1264 nt
Filed under: Androctonus crassicauda
Lineage: Eukaryota; Metazoa; Arthropoda; Arachnida; Scorpiones; Buthidae
Source: RNAcentral